RNAcentral lists this unclassified non-coding RNA (587 nucleotides) under Hevea brasiliensis (rubber tree). Lineage: Eukaryota; Viridiplantae; Streptophyta; Magnoliopsida; Malpighiales; Euphorbiaceae. The record is from RNAcentral.
CCGCUGCUCACCAUCGCCGGAAAAUUCUCUCUAAUGAUUUCCAUCUCUAGUCAGUCCUCAUCCGAACCCCACAGCAGAAGACCCAAAAUCCCACCGGGCGACGUCCUUCCUCGCAAGAGCUCGUUUAACUCGCUUAAUUCUCUCCUUGCGCAUUCCUAUUUUACUCAAUCCCGCGUAUGGCUCCUCCUCUCCAUCUUCUCCUUCCAGAUCAUUCUCCUCAUUGGUCUCCGCUCAAUUCUUCUCUCUUUUAACUACCGCCGCCACCAUUUUCCCUCUCCGUACACUGCUCACCACCGUGUCAGCAUUCCCACUAACACCAUUAUCGAUAUCAGCCACCCUAGAAUAACAACUGAUCAUGAUGAUGAAUGUAGAUCAGGAAGGAUCUUUGUCUACGAUCUUCCCAGCAGGUUCAACACUGAAUUGAUUAGAAAUUGCGAUGAGUUAAACCCAUGGAGUACCAGGUGUGAUGCGUUGGCGAAUGACGGUUUUGGCCAGAAAGCCACAGAGAUUUUUGCGCUUGUUCCGAAAAAUCUCGCUCCCGCCUGGUACUGGACCGACCAAUUCGUCUCGGAGAUUAUCUUCCACAA